Long non-coding RNA from Homalodisca vitripennis (glassy-winged sharpshooter), 659 nucleotides. RefSeq lists it as uncharacterized. The transcript is spliced from 2 exons. Lineage: Eukaryota; Metazoa; Arthropoda; Insecta; Hemiptera; Cicadellidae. The record is from RefSeq and is a predicted model, not a curated record.
UGUUAAAUACACAAAACUUUUUUAUAGUAAAUGCAAAUCCAGGCAAGCAAGAUUUAAAAACUAUGAUUGUCUAUUUAUUGAAAUUGAAGUGUGUAGCAUUAUUCACCAAUAUGCUUUUUAUUAAUUGACCGAUAUACUAUAUUAUGAGAUUACAGCUAAACGUUUUAGCUGUUAUUUGUGUGCAUGUUUCUUUAUACUACAGAUUGAAACUUCACAGAAUAAGAGCUCGUUGCGUGAAGUUGAAGUUAAGUUACCAACAGACUCUUAAAAGACCAUUUGGGUCCCUUGGCCGACAGUCAGGGUCCACUGAUGAUUAUUAAACAUAAGAAAGAAACCCCCGAGUGCUCCAUGUAAUGUCCUCUCACAAAACAAACACAGUAAUGUCCUCAUUACGCCAUUAGCAAAUGGAGACUAGGUAACGGAUCUGCGCCCGAGUAUCGGUGAAAUAAACGUUGCACCAACUGGCGAGAUACAGACACCACUGCUGAGCAACCAUAAUGCAAACUAAAACCAAGGUGGCCUCUCCCGAAAAUGCAACGGAUUAUUCAAUUUCCAUACUUCAGAUUAGUAUUGUGGCGAUUUAAAAAUCUGCAUUUAAUUAGUAAAAGGAGUUAAUUAGAAAUAAAUUAAAUCUGCAUUAUUGUGUACAUUAUUAAAAA